This 2532-nucleotide long non-coding RNA is filed under the name Homo sapiens (human). Its description in RNAcentral is "HSALNT0248766". Lineage: Eukaryota; Metazoa; Chordata; Mammalia; Primates; Hominidae. The record is from RNAcentral.
CUGGCUUUUUCACUUAUUAGCUUUAUGCCCUUGGCAAGCCACUGAAACACUCUGAAGCUCAAUUUCCUUGCUGGUCAGAAGAAGCUGUCCACUCCAUGGGGUGCUGUGCAGGGCGUUAAAGCCCCUGAUAAUGGUAGUGGCUGCUAUAAUUACAAUGAGAUAAACAUUUAUGAAUUGGCUUUGGCUUUCCUCAUUGAACAAAAAUGGAGUCAGAAUUAUCAAAGGGGACAGGCAGAGCCAUUGCUACAUUAAGGAAGUGCUUUGUAAACUGUAAAACAAAUAACAAAUUAAAAAGAGGCUUUGUAUUCUUUCUUUUCUAGGUAUGAUUUUUAUUGCUUAAUAGCAGCAUCAAGAAAACUGAACUUCAAAUUCAAAUUGAAAAGUGAACCUCAAAUCAAGCAGUAUUUCUCAUCAGUAAUGAUGGGGAGGGAUUUGAAAGUCCUGCUUACCAUGUAAAUUUGAACUAUCUGGGAAUGGGACCGCUCUCUGGCAUGCAUCACGCCAGCAUUUUUACCAAAAAUGGAGAUUUCCUUCCACCUCCACUUCUUCCCAGUCAGGUCACAUGAAACAGGGAAACUAUGGGAUCAGGCAAACCUAAAUUUCAUUCGUGAUUCCACUUUAAAACAGGAAACUUAUUAUCUACUCUGUAGGAAAACAUAAAAUAAUUUUUGCAAAGUACACAGUAGCAAAGGAUUGGCUUCUUUCCAUCCUGAAGAUCUGCAGCUUAAAACAACUUCAGUGUGACAUUGUUCCCUGAUACCACACUCAUAAAGUUUUAUUCACACAUAACAGACCUUCCUUCAAAUCCCACCUCCUCCACUAAAUAGCACAUUAUUCAACCUCAGUUUCCUCUUCUAUAAAAUGGGCACAAUAAUAGAACCUAGCUCACAGAGUAGAGGGGAACAGAUGAUAAAGUGCAUUUAAAUGCUUAGCCUGGUGUCUGACACAUAAUAAAAUUUUUGCUAACAGAAUUACAAUAAUACAAAUAACAAUAACAUUUCAGUUCUAUUCGAAUUUGCACAUUAACCAACACUUAGAUGGGUCAGCAGCAAAGGUUUGGGGUAGUUUGCCAUUUUUUCCUUCUUAAAUUUCCUUGGCUGUGCUUCUUUCCCUCCCUUCCCAGGGCAGGUCUGUUUCAAUUCAGCCGCUGGCUGGAACAUCUGGCAGGUUGCCCACUCUUGACGUUUUCUGUUUGUGGAGCCAACAGGGUGGGGAGGUAGGGGGUUUGAUCAUCUUCACCACUGAGACAUUGGAAUCUGUUGAGUUAAACAUUGCUCUACUGUUACCAUCCCCUCCCUUUCCUCCUCCCUCCCUGUGAAUGAAUCUGGAAAGAAUGAACCUGAAGUCUAUCUUGAACAGCUAUAAAACCUUUAUGGUACGUGGGCUGCUCCUCGAGUAGUGGAGCAUUAGCCUCCCUGUUCGUUCCUAGAGUAAACAGAACACGUCAGCAUAUUCCCUAACACGGGGUCAAUGUCUGAGGGAGCGGUGCACUCCGUGCCUGGCACCUGCUAGUGUGAGAGGUCUGCUGGCAGCCACACACCACAAUCAACUUUGAUGACUGCAUGCACUGCAGAGCUCACUACUCCCGAGCCCUUUUAUUCACUAAUAUUUAUCUCAAGAUAGCAAUAUCUCCAAAUCUUCCCUUUUGCUCAGCCCUCUAACCUUACAGAAUCUAUUAUAAAGUAUGUGCAUAUAGCUGAUGGGAUAUAUUACAUAGUACCUAUGUGUCCAAUAUUACAUUUGCACCGAAUUUUCUAAGUUAACUCUAUGAGAGAAACCAAAGUUGAACUUGCACCCUUCCUUGGAGGAGCAUGCUGGCUCUUGAGUCAGGCCUUAGCAUUGCCCUGCUGUCCCGUUUGAUGUCAUCCAUAAAGUGCUGCCUCACUACUGGCUGCAGUCAGUCUCCACACCAUUGGCCUAUGAUUUAUUACAGGUGCCAUCUUUGAAGGAUCCAUGGCCCCAUGCCAUCACUUGACUGCUUACUUAAAAUGUUUAAGUGUGUGAUACUAGGUCUAUAACCUUUUCUGAUCCCACAGAAGGGACAAGGGAGAACAUAAUUCAUUUUAUUGGAGGUCACCAUUAUUCUUCCUUCUCUGUCUUUACCCUGUGCCGGCCAAAUAGUCAUACUUUAUCCACUGUAAGUACUUUUUCCCCAGUCAGUUCUCCAAAGGUUUCUCUUUCCAUAUUGUCCUCCAAACUUUCUCAUGUCUAUUUCACACUCUUGUACUUUAUUUGCGUUCUAUUAUAGAAUCAAUUAGAUCCUAUCCUGGGCAGAACUGUUCAUUGUUUACAAGCAUUAGGUCACCAAAGACCAAUGACACCUAAAAACCAGUGAGCCACAAUGACUGAUACAUCUACUCUUGCUUCAUAACAUAACCUUGAGAGGUCAGUUCAGAGUGUGAGCCCCAUUUUACUAACAAAGAUGAUGAAAUUGAGAGACUCAGUCUCUUAUUUGUGGUGGCCUAAUUAGUCCAGAAGCAAUGUCAUAAUCAGUGCUAAAGUGAACAUAGGAGAGAGAACAUCAGAAAAAAU